Molecule: ribosomal RNA, 441 nt
Filed under: Triticum aestivum (bread wheat)
Lineage: Eukaryota; Viridiplantae; Streptophyta; Magnoliopsida; Poales; Poaceae
Description: partial small subunit ribosomal RNA
Source: RNAcentral
AUGGACAAGGAAAUUAAGGUACACUGGGUUAGCUGGGAGACUAUGACUUGGCCAAAAAGGAAAGGUGGCUCGGGAUUUAGGAAUCUUCAUCAUUUCAACAUUGCAAUGCUAGCAAGGCAGGCAUGGAGACUGCUUCAAAAUCCGAGUACACUUUGCGCCAGGGUCUUAUCAUUGAAUUACUAUCCGGAUGGUCAAAUUCUGGAUGCAAAAUCGACCAGAGGUAUGUCUUAUGCCUAGAGAAGCAUUUUAAAAGGAAUUAGUCUUUUGAACAAAGGAAUAAUAUGGAGAGUGGGGAAUGGACGGAAUAUCAGUAUUUGGAAUGACCCCUGGAUCGCAAGAGGAACAUCAAGAAGAGUAAUCUCAAGGAAAGGGAGGAAUGUAAUCACUAGGGUAGAAGAGCUUAUUAAUCCAAUAAAACUACCUAGGAUGCGCAAUUAUUGA